GCCUGUUUAGCUCAGUGGUAGAGCGCGCCACUCGUAUGAUGUUUGGCUAUGUACAGCCAAUCGUCAUUGAUUACGUAAUGGUGAGGCCGGUUGUUCAAUCCAGCCAACAGGCA
Non-coding RNA from Fomitopsis schrenkii, 113 nucleotides. The record is from the annotation of a GenBank genome assembly. Lineage: Eukaryota; Fungi; Basidiomycota; Agaricomycetes; Polyporales; Fomitopsidaceae.